GACGAACGCUGGCGGCGUGCUUAACACAUGCAAGUCGAACGGUAAGGCCCUUCGGGGUACACGAGUGGCGAACGGGUGAGUAACACGUGGGUGAUCUGCCCUGCACUUCGGGAUAAGCCUGGGAAACUGGGUCUAAUACCGGAUAGGACUCCGGACUGCAUGGUCUGGGGUGGAAAGCUUUUGCGGUGUGGGAUGGGCCCGCGGCCUAUCAGCUUGUUGGUGGGGUGAUGGCCUACCAAGGCGACGACGGGUAGCCGGCCCGGGAGGGUGACCGGCCAAACGGGGACUGAGGUACGGCCCAGACUCGUACGGGAGGCAGCAGUGGGGAAUAUUGGACAAGGGGAGCAAGCCUGAUGCAGCGACGCCGCGUGAGGGAUGACGGCCUUCGGGUUGUAAACCUCUUUCAGCAUCGACGAAGCGAAAGUGACGGUAGGUGCAGAAGAAGGACCGGCCAACUACGUGCCAGCAGCCGCCGUAA
RNAcentral lists this ribosomal RNA (478 nucleotides) under uncultured bacterium. Its description in RNAcentral is "partial 16S ribosomal RNA". It matches the Rfam family "Bacterial small subunit ribosomal RNA", at positions 28 to 523 of the family's 1533-position model. The record is from RNAcentral.